GCACAAGCGGUGGAUGAUGUGGUUUAAUUCGAUGCAACGCGAAAACCUUACCACCUUUGACAUGUACGGAAGCCUUUAGAGAUAGAGGCGUGCUCGAAAGAGAGCCGUAACACAGGUGCUGCAUGGCUGUCGUCAGCUCGUGUCGUGAGAUGUUGGGUUAAGUCCCGCAACGAGCGCAACCCUUGUCAUUAGUUGCUACAUUCAGUUGGGCACUCUAAUGAGACUGCCGGUGACAAGCCGGAGGAAGGUGGGGAUGACGUCAAGUCCUCAUGGCCCUUAUAGGUGGGGCUACACACGUCAUACAAUGGCUGGUACAAAGGGUUGCCAACCCGCGAGGGGGAGCUAAUCCCAUAAAGCCAGUCGUAGUUCGGAUCGUAGUCUGCAACUCGACUACGUGAAGUCGGAAUCGCUAGUAAUCGUGGAUCAGAAUGUCACGGUGAAUACGUUCCCGGGUCUU
Molecule: ribosomal RNA, 457 nt
Filed under: uncultured Rhodoferax sp.
Lineage: Bacteria; Pseudomonadati; Pseudomonadota; Betaproteobacteria; Burkholderiales; Comamonadaceae
Description: bacterial SSU rRNA
Rfam family: Bacterial small subunit ribosomal RNA
Source: RNAcentral